Molecule: long non-coding RNA, 837 nt
Organism: Mus musculus (house mouse)
Lineage: Eukaryota; Metazoa; Chordata; Mammalia; Rodentia; Muridae
Product: predicted gene, 41555
Exons: 4
Source: RefSeq, a predicted model, not a curated record
CUAGCAGAAUACUGACUUCCAGGCAACUACAACCAAGGGGAGAGGUCCCAGGAGCGCCCACUGUUAGGCUGGAGUUACAUAGGAAAGAACAGAGAGCAGCCACCACUGUACGGCCUGCACCAUCCUACAAGAUCUGAAAGUGCGGAGUCCUCAGAGCUGUCAGAGGAUGUGGGGCUUAUGACAACACCUGGGAGGAGAGAUGGAGAAGGCUUUUAUGGAGUCCCAGUGAGUCUCUUUCAGUGAACCUGGAGCUUGCCAGUUUGUCUAGACUGGCUUUGCCAGUGAACCCCAGGACCCUCUCGUCUCUGCUUCCCCAUUGGUGGAAUCCCAGGCAUACUGCUACAUCCAGCUUUUCGCUAUACACGCAUGCUGGGAUAGAACUCAGUUCCUCACAUUUGCAAGGUGUGUGAGCCAUGGAGGAGAAGGAUGCAAGGAGCCAAGGAAGUGUGAAGGCCCCCUUAUAUCCUCAUCAUCGCCACAGACAGGGACCACCCAGGCUUCAGACUUGGGAGGGCUCCCAGUACGACGAGUGGCACGUUCAGGCGUGAAGUCAGACUGCUGAUACUGUGAGGCAGCAGGAGCUGAUAGAAGAACAACCCCCUCCCACAUCCACCCCCAAGAAAGCAAGGAAGUAGUGGGCAGGGGCCGCAUGGAUCCAGGGUGGGCAGAAACGGCAAAUGGGCUUGUAGAUCUGACUAUAUAAUUUUAGCAACUUUUGAUGGCUCCCUUCCCACACCAGAUUCCACCAUUCUUCCUGACUGGUCCCUACUUAUCACCCUAUUUGUGUGUCCACAGUAAGGCAACCAGGGUUGGUUCCUAUAAAUCUGGGCUUCCUCA